CGGACAGUGUCUGGUGGGUAGUUUGACUGGGGCGGUCUCCUCCUAAAGAGUAACGGAGGAGCACGAAGGUUGGCUAAUCCUGGUCGGACAUCAGGAGGUUAGUGCAAUGGCAUAAGCCAGCUUGACUGCGAGCGUGACGGCGCGAGCAGGUGCGAAAGCAGGUCAUAGUGAUCCGGUGGUUCUGAAUGGAAGGGCCAUCGCUCAACGGAUAAAAGGUACUCCGGGGAUAACAGGCUGAUACCGCCCAAGAGUUCAUAUCGACGGCGGUGUUUGGCACCUCGAUGUCGGCUCAUCACAUCCUGGGGCUGAAGUAGGUCCCAAGGGUAUGGCUGUUCGCCAUUUAAAGUGGUACGCGAGCUGGGUUUAGAACGUCGUGAGACAGUUCGGUCCCUAUCUGCCGUGGGCGCUGGAGAACUGAGGGGGGCUGCUCCUAGUACGAGAGGACCGGAGUGGACGCAUCACUGGUGUUCGGGUUGUCAUGCCAAUGGCACUGCCCGGUAGCUAAAUGCGGAAGAGAUAAGUGCUGAAAGCAUCUAAGCACGAAACUUGCCCCG
This 554-nucleotide ribosomal RNA is filed under the name Escherichia coli. Its description in RNAcentral is "bacterial LSU rRNA". It matches the Rfam family "Bacterial large subunit ribosomal RNA", at positions 2248 to 2801 of the family's 2925-position model. The record is from RNAcentral. Lineage: Bacteria; Pseudomonadati; Pseudomonadota; Gammaproteobacteria; Enterobacterales; Enterobacteriaceae.